This 253-nucleotide ribosomal RNA is filed under the name uncultured bacterium. RNAcentral's name for it is "partial 16S ribosomal RNA". It matches the Rfam family "Bacterial small subunit ribosomal RNA", at positions 524 to 776 of the family's 1533-position model. The record is from RNAcentral.
UACGUAGGGGGCGAGCGUUGUCCGGAGUUACUGGGCGUAAAGGGCACGCAGGCGGUCGCUCGCGUUUAGGCUGACAGCGCCUCGCUUCACGAGGCGAGUGGUCUAAAAACGGGGCGACUUGAGGCAUUCAGAGGGACACAGAAUUCCGGGUGGAGUGGUGAAAUGCGUAGAGAUCCGGAGGAAUACCAAAGGCGAAGGCAGUGUCCUGGGGAUGACCUGACGCUAAGGUGCGAAAGCCAGGGGAGCGAACGGG